RNAcentral lists this ribosomal RNA (253 nucleotides) under uncultured bacterium. RNAcentral describes it as "partial 16S ribosomal RNA". It matches the Rfam family "Bacterial small subunit ribosomal RNA", at positions 524 to 776 of the family's 1533-position model. The record is from RNAcentral.
UACGUAGGGUGCGAGCGUUGUCCGGAAUUAUUGGGCGUAAAGAGCUCGUAGGCGGUUUGUCGCGUCGGCCGUGAAAACUUGGGGCUUAACCCCGAGCCUGCGGUCGAUACGGGCAGACUUGAGUUCGGCAGGGGAGACUGGAAUUCCUGGUGUAGCGGUGAAAUGCGCAGAUAUCGGAAGGAACAUCAGUGGCGAAGGCGACUUCCUGGACCAAUACUGACGCUCAGGUGCGAAAGCGUGGGGAGCAAACAGG